GCGCAAUGGUUUCCCCACGCCGGGGAAUGAAAAGGGAAUGCCGUGUGAAUCGGCAACAGUUCCCGCUGCUGUGAGUUCCGGACCCUUUGCGGGUCGUUUGUCGCGGCAUUCCGAGCCACUGGCCCCUGGGACCGGGAAGGCGCCGCUCAAGGAACGAGUCAGAAGACCUGCCUUGCACGA
This 180-nucleotide non-coding RNA is filed under the name uncultured Alistipes sp. Lineage: Bacteria; Pseudomonadati; Bacteroidota; Bacteroidia; Bacteroidales; Rikenellaceae. The record is from RNAcentral.